AUUGAACGCUGGCGGCAGGCCUAACACAUGCAAGUCGAGCGGAUGAAGGGAGCUUGCUCCUGGAUUCAGCGGCGGACGGGUGAGUAAUGCCUAGGAAUCUGCCUUGUCGUGGGGGAUAACGUCCGGAAACGGGCGCUAACACCGCAUACGUCCUGAUGUAGAAAGUGGGGGAUCUUCGGACCUCACGCUAUCAGAUGAGCCUAGGUCGGAUUAGCUAGUUGGUGGGGUAAAGGCCUACCAAGGCGACGAUCCGUAACUGGUCUGAGAGGAUGAUCAGUCACACUGGAACUGAGACACGGUCCAGACUCCUACGGGAGGCAGCAGUGGGGAAUAUUCGACAAUGGGCGAAAGCCUGAUCCAGCAAUGCCGCGUGUGUGAAGAAGGUCUUCGGAUUGUAAAGCACUUUAAGUUGGGAGGAAGGGCAGUAAGUUAAUACCUUGCUGUUUUGACGUUACCAACAGAAUAAGCACCGGCUAACUUCGUG
Molecule: ribosomal RNA, 484 nt
Filed under: uncultured bacterium
Lineage: Bacteria
Description: partial 16S ribosomal RNA
Rfam family: Bacterial small subunit ribosomal RNA
Source: RNAcentral